This 1923-nucleotide ribosomal RNA is filed under the name Durinskia baltica. Its description in RNAcentral is "partial Bacterial large subunit ribosomal RNA". It matches the Rfam family "Bacterial large subunit ribosomal RNA", at positions 10 to 1955 of the family's 2925-position model. The record is from RNAcentral. Lineage: Eukaryota; Dinophyceae; Peridiniales; Kryptoperidiniaceae.
AUUAAGGGCGUAUGGGGGAUGUCUUGGCAUCAGAUGGCGAUGAAGGGCGUGGAAGACUGCGAUAAUCUUGGGGAAGUUGUCAAACGAGCGUUGAUCCCGAGGUUCCUGAAUUAUCAUAUACUGAAUACAUAGGUAUAUGAGGCACACGCGGUGAACUGAAACAUCUCAGUAACCGCAGGAAAGGAAAGCAACAGCGACUUCGUGAGUAGCGGCGAGCGAAAGCGAAUCUAGCCUAAACCGUCUUGCUUCGGCAUGGCGGGGUUGUGGGGCUUGUCAUUGUGGAGUUACAAAACUGUUUGCUAGAAGAAUUCGUUGGAAAGCGAAACCAUAGAGGGUGACAGUCCCGUAUUUGAAAGUGAACAGACUUCCGACAGGUACCCGAGUAGGUCCGGCCACGUGGAAUCCGGACUGAAUCUGGGAGGUCCAUCUCCUAAGGCUAAGUAUUCUCUGAUGACCGAUAGUGAAAAGUAGGGUGACCGAAAGAUGAAAAGAACCCCUGUUAGGGGAGGGAAAGAACCUGAAACCAUACGCUUACAAGCUGUCGGAGCACUAUUAUCUUCGGAUAAGUGUGACGGCGUGCCUUUUGCAUAAUGAUCCGGCGAGUUACCGUCAAUGGCUCGAUUAAGGCCUUCCGGGCCGAAGUCUCAGCGAAAGCGAGUCUGAAUAGGGCGUUUUGUCAGUGGCGGUAGACGCGAAACCAGGUGAACUACCCAUGAGCAGGUUGAAGCGCGGGUAAGACUGCGUGGAGGACCGAACCCACCUAGGUUGAAAACUGGGGGGAUGACUUGUGGGGAGGAGUAAAAGUCUAAUCAAACCUGGAGAUAGCUCGUUCUCUCCGAAAUAGCUUUAGGGCUAGCCUUGAGCCACUACGUAAUGGGGGUAGAGCACUGAUUUGGACUGGGGGGCUUCCCGCCUACCCACCCUAGUUAAACUCCGAAUACCAUUACGAUUAUCUCAGGAGUCAGUCCACGAGGGAGAAGCUUCGUGGUCGAGAGGGAAACAACCCAGAUCGCCUGCUAAGGUCCCAAAGUCUUGCUAAGUCACUAAGGAUGUUAAGAUACUGUGACAGCCAGGAUGUUGGCUUAGAAGCAGCCAUCAUUUAAAAAGUGCGUAAUAGCUUACUGGUCGAGUGUUUUAGCACCGAUAAUGAACGGGAGUAAGUAAGACACCGAAGCAGCGGAUUCAGCUUAUGCUGAGUGGUAGGAGAGCGUUCCAGUGCAGAUACUAGCCGUACCGUAAGGAGCGGUGUUGGGCACUGGAAGUGAUUAUGCCGGAAUGAGUAACGAUAAAACAGGUGAGAAUCCUGUUCGCCGCAAACCUAAGGUUUCCUGGGGAAGGUAAUUCCGCCCAGGGUUAGCCGGUACCUUAGUUGAGGCCGAAAGGCGUAGACGAUGGAGAGCAGGUUAAUAUUCCUGCGCCGGAUAUGUGGACCGAUGGGGGGACGUUGUGUAGAUUGUGAUCGGGCUGACAGAAAUGCCCGUAGGGGAAGACAAGGCUGUGGAUAGGAAAAUCCGCCACAUCAAGCCAAGGCUUUCACUCGAGUCCAAUGAUGACGAAGUCAUAUGACGCAUAACCAAGAAAAGCCUCUAAGGAUUGAAGCAUAUCUGACCGUACUAAAACUGACACAGGUAGGUGAGGCGCGUAGCCUAAGGCGCUCGGGAAAACGCUGGUUAAGGAACUCUGCAAAAUGACCCCGUAAGUUCGCGAUAAGGGGUGCCUCCGAUGGUUCACGCUAUUGGAGGUCACAGUAAAUCGGCUCUGGCGACUGUUUACUAAAAACACAGGACUCUGCGAACUCGUAAGAGGAUGUAUAGAGUCUGACUCCUGCUCGGUGCCGGUAAGUUAAGGAAGAGGGUUAGCCUUUGGGCGAAGCUCGCAACCGAAGCUCCGGUAAACGGCGGCCGUAACUAUGACGGUCCUAAG